CCUGCAUUGGCUUGCGUUUGCUUCUAUUUCUUGUGCUUGUAACAGUGCAAAAGUUAGAAAGAUAGUCAAGAGCUCCCAUUUUUCUUCUCUUUUGGCAGUACACAAUCAAUGUCAGUUUCAAAGUAAAGAGAGAGAGAGAGAGAGAGAGAGGGGG
Long non-coding RNA from Telopea speciosissima, 154 nucleotides. RefSeq lists it as uncharacterized. The record is from RefSeq and is a predicted model, not a curated record. NCBI's taxonomy places the organism in Eukaryota, Viridiplantae, Streptophyta, Magnoliopsida, Proteales, Proteaceae. The transcript is spliced from 4 exons.